CUCCACCAUUGUGACCUACUGAAGAAUCCAAAGCACAAGUGAUGUUAAUGUGGUUUAGCCUGUUAUUGCUGGAGUAGUUAUCUGGGGCAACCGACAGACUUCCAAGGACUCAGUUUCCACUCACUGUGAUUCGAGUUGAGUUUCCGACGUGCCCCGUGGUGCGACAGGCAUCCUGGGACACAUAUUAUGUUGAAAAGCUACAGAUUUCAGUCCUGCGAUGCACCACAGAUGUGACGAGAAAUGUGGACGUAUUUGAAGUAGAAUCCAGUGGCCUCCUUUUGAUGCAGUUGCCAUGGUUGUUGAUUUCAUUGAGGAAAUAAAAGGAACCAGGAUGUAUGGUUUAACAAGGAAGAAGAUAAGCAAAAAUAAGAAGUCUUAAUUCCCACAAAAAGCUUUUAACAUCACACUGUAUCAGGAUUAAGAAAAUAGCCAGAAUGCCAGUAGAUGAUCCUGGCCACAUGACCUGAACAAGCCAUUUUAUCUCAUUUGCCUCAACUUCUUCAUCUGCCAGAUGGGACUAAUAUUUGGCAACUUCCCAAUGGGGUUGCUGUGAGGCCUAAAGAAGUUAAUAUGCGAAAAGUGCCUAGAACAUUACCUAGCACAUGGUAAGUGCUCAAUAUAUGAUAGAUACUUUUGUUAUUAUUAUUUUAGAUGGAAGAGAUACUUAGAUCAAUGGCAGAGCUCAUUAAAUUAUACAAAGUCUAAUGUGGAUAAGCCUAUGUUUUAAAAAAGAUUUUCACUCUUAAUUGAAUGUUCCUAAGCAAAG
Molecule: long non-coding RNA, 766 nt
Filed under: Vulpes vulpes (red fox)
Lineage: Eukaryota; Metazoa; Chordata; Mammalia; Carnivora; Canidae
Description: lncRNA (ENSVVUG00000013748.1)
Source: RNAcentral